GUCAGUUGCAAAAUGUAUUUUCUUCAUAGCCAGGCAUUCACAUGAAUGAAGAUUAGAAUUGCGUCAUGUUAUAUAGUCUUAAAUAUUUAGGAGGGGUCUCUAUUAUUAAAUUAAGAGAUUAAAAAGGGGUCCCAUGACAUUUUGACAUAAGAAUCUCCCACCCCACCCUAGGGUAUAAUGAAUGGUCACUUAAAGUACAUGCCAUCUUCUAACUGGAUGGGCACCUUGCCCCUUUUGUGAUGGAAAAUCAAUUCCCUACCUUUAUCCCCUGGGAUAAAAUAUUCAAAUCAACUCUCCACCCUGAUGUGCAGCUGGUAACAGCAAGAAUUGAAGCAAGCAAGCUUUACUGGAG
Molecule: non-coding RNA, 352 nt
Organism: Paramuricea clavata
Lineage: Eukaryota; Metazoa; Cnidaria; Anthozoa; Malacalcyonacea; Plexauridae
Source: the annotation of a GenBank genome assembly